UCAAAUAUGUCUCCAAAUUUGCUGUAAUAGGGAAGGAAAAGGAGAAACAAGGUAAUUCUUCCAUAUAUCUUGCAACAUAAAUGAAAUAUUCUCAUAUAUUUAAUAUAGAAGAACUGAAGGAAUCAAAUAUUUUAAAAUAACAGCCAAACUAAGAAAAAGUUGGAAAACCUAAUGCAACCAAAAAAUAAAUUAUGUAACAGUUUCCUUGGAGACACAGUACAGUAGUGAGAGUAUAUCAUGUUCUAAAUUCCAAUAUGAAACUUGACUUCCUUUUUACAUUGUCUUUGUCUCAGAUUUGAAGAUCUACAGAAUACAUCACAAUUAAAACAACUGAGACACACAAAAAUAAAUACAUAUAAAUAUGGAUGAGUGCAAGGGCCUUGGUGCAAUGGUAAGUUUGCUCAAUUGUGACCUACAGGUGACAGGUUCAUAUCACCAAACAACCUCUGACAGUGUAAGUGAAAAUGCUGUUUUCCUCUAAUCCUUCUUGGACCCCAAAAUGCACAAAGCCUUGAAAAAUGCAUUUUUACAUUGUGUGUAAAACAGUGUUAUUAAAGGCGCUCUGA
Molecule: unclassified non-coding RNA, 566 nt
Filed under: Hevea brasiliensis (rubber tree)
Lineage: Eukaryota; Viridiplantae; Streptophyta; Magnoliopsida; Malpighiales; Euphorbiaceae
Source: RNAcentral